UGGGGAAUAUUGCACAAUGGGCGCAAGCCUGAUGCAGCCAUGCCGCGUGUGUGAAGAAGGCCUUCGGGUUGUAAAGCACUUUCAGCGAGGAGGAAGGUGGUGGACUUAAUACGUUCAUCAAUUGACGUUACUCGCAGAAGAAGCACCGGCUAACUCCGUGCCAGCAGCCGCGGUAAUACGGAGGGUGCAAGCGUUAAUCGGAAUUACUGGGCGUAAAGCGCACGCAGGCGGUUUGUUAAGUCAGAUGUGAAAUCCCCGGGCUCAACCUGGGAACUGCAUUUGAAACUGGCAAGCUAGAGUCUCGUAGAGGGGGGUAGAAUUCCAGGUGUAGCGGUGAAAUGCGUAGAGAUCUGGAGGAAUACCGGUGGCGAAGGCGGCCCCCUGGANGAAGACUGACGCUCAGGUGCGAAAGCGUGGGGAGCAAACAGAUUAGAUACCCUGGUAGUCACGCUGUAAACGAUGUCGAUUUUGGAGGUUGUGCCCCUGAGGCGUGGNUUCCGGAGCUAACGNGUUAAAUCGACCGCC
RNAcentral lists this ribosomal RNA (525 nucleotides) under uncultured bacterium. Its description in RNAcentral is "partial 16S ribosomal RNA". It matches the Rfam family "Bacterial small subunit ribosomal RNA", at positions 355 to 873 of the family's 1533-position model. The record is from RNAcentral.